GACGAACGCUGGCGGCGUGCUUAACACAUGCAAGUCGAACGGAAAGGCCCUGCUCUUGCGGGGUGCUCGAGUGGCGAACGGGUGAGUGACACGUGAGUAACCUGCCCCUGAAUUUGGGGUAACUUCAGGAAACUCGGGCUAAUACCGGAUAGGAGCUCCUGCUGCACGGUGGGGGUUGGAAAGAUUCGGCGGUUGGGGAUGGUAUCGCGGGUUAUCAGCUUGUUGGUGGGGUAGUGGCUUACCAAGGGUAUGACGGGUAGGCCGCCUGAGAGGUUGACCGGCCACAUUGGGACUGAGAUACGGCGCAGACUCCUACGGGAGGCAGCAGUGGGGAAUAUUGCACAGUGGGCGGAAGUCUGAUGCAGCAACGCCGCGUGCGGGAUGACGGCCUUCGGGUUGUAAACCGCUGUGGCCUGUGACGAGGCGUGAGUGACGGUAAUGGGUAAAGAAGCACCGGCUAACUACGUG
Molecule: ribosomal RNA, 468 nt
Filed under: uncultured bacterium
Lineage: Bacteria
Description: partial 16S ribosomal RNA
Rfam family: Bacterial small subunit ribosomal RNA
Source: RNAcentral